Molecule: long non-coding RNA, 2427 nt
Filed under: Mytilus galloprovincialis (Mediterranean mussel)
Lineage: Eukaryota; Metazoa; Mollusca; Bivalvia; Mytilida; Mytilidae
Source: RNAcentral
AUAUUAUUUAAGACCACAUGUUCCAUUGCAUAAGUUCAAUAAUCUUUGGGAAUAUAUAUUGCGAAACAAUACUUAUUAGGAAUAUAUAUAUAUAUCAACUAUAGAUAGUGAAGGUAUGUCAAACAUUUGCGUUCUCUUCUUUUUUAAAUAUUGCUGAAAUUUUUAAUCAAAACUAAUUUCUGUUAUGAUUUAUACGAUUAUUAUUAAAAUUAUUAUAAAACUCAUGUUAAAUUCAUAUAAAACUCAUAUUAAAAAAAUGAUGCAUAUGUAUUUAAUAACAAAAUGUAUAGUUUUCAUUAUUAAACUUAUACAUAUACUUUUUUCUGAAGAAAAUUCUUUAAUUUUCCACAUUAAGAAGAACCUUAGUUUUUUUUUAUUGCGUGCUUCCAGGAAGCAAAUUCGCCGACAUAUUUUCCGUAUGCAAAGUGACCUUAGCGUGACCCUCCUCGUAAUAAUUAGGUGAUCGCAAUACGCAUGGAUCUGUUAUUAAAAUAAACUAUUAACUGAUUGAGCAUGUUAAACACGUGCUCACUAUCCAUGCUUCUUUGUUGAUUGUUUACAAUAAAGUGACAAUCGGUAAACUACGGCUUCAAAUUAAAACAUAACGAUUAAUGAGCUUCCAUAUUUUCACCUAAAAAACAGACAGAGAGAAAAAAAAAUACGAUUUUACGAUAUGUUUGCGUAAAAAUGAUAAAAUCGUGCACAGAAGACCAAGUUUAUGAUAUGUACAUGCAUUGGUUCAAGAAUUGAGUAAACUUUUUUUUCACCAGUCACUCGUUUCAUAUGUCUUUAUGGUAUUUUAUAUUUAUAUUUUAUCUUUAUUCGUUGAUUUGCUAUUUAUAAGAAUUCUAUUCACAAUGAUUUUUCAGAAUGUAAAAUAUAUUUGACACCUGUAGUUGUUUAUUCCUGUGUCAUUUUGGUCUCUUGUGGAGAGUUGUCUCAUUGGCAAUCAUACCACAUCUUAUUUUUUCUAUAUACAUUAAUUGACCUUAAUAACUUUCUCUAUCUGGUUUUUGUAGUUUUCCCAAAGAAAUGUCGAAAUUUGUGAUUUUACUUCUUCUUACUGGUCUUCUUGGUAUGUAUAUUAUUUAGAAUCUACGUUGAUUACUUAAUUUUGAAAGAUGUUACAUUAUUAAAUAAUGUGUAUUGUUAUACAUUAUUCAUAACAGAAUACGACAAUUUAGAAUAAAUAUGGUGUUUUCAGUUCAAAGCUAAAAUAAAAGUAUAAAAAAGAAUAUUCCAAAUAUAACACAGGAAACAAAGAGAAAUAUCACACCAACUCCUUAAGGUGGUACCCAACACUUUCACUAAAAUUAAUUUGGCUCGUUUAAUUUUCAUAAAACUUUGUCAAAGUAUUCACUUUGACACUUUAACAAAAAUAUAAAAAUUUUUAAAAAAUUGAACCAACCGUUUUGUCAGAAAAAUUACACUGUUUAUAUAGCAAUUUGACAAACACCAAUUUUGAUCAUUGAGAAGCUUAAUAUUCCUUUUACAACACAGCGUAGUUAAAACGUUUUGCUGAAUUUACAGAGUUAUCUCCCUGUAGUGUUAGGUACCACCUUAACAAAAAAUCACUUUCCUGAUGUUGUUGGACGAAGCUUAGCUCAUGGAAUGUAACAGAUUCAAGAAACGAAUUGUGCUGCUAAAAAUAACCAAAAUUAUAAGACUUAAAUAUAAGAAAAUAUAGAUCGUGUUUAAACAGAAAAAAUCUAUUUUUAUUUCCAAUGGACAAAAUUCAUAUUAAUAAUCUUUAAUGUAUUUUUUUAAUCUAAAGUUAUUCAGGAGGCGAAGUCCAUACGUUUUUGUAAGCGAUAUCGUUCUGUGUGUACAAAGCGUUGUUGGUGGCGUUGUUGUAAAUAUUGGACUUAUAUGGAUUAUUAUAUUUGUGGAUAUGGUAAACGGUCCAUCGAGAAUGACGUAAAACUAGGUAUGUUUUCUCCUAUAUUACAACUCAAUCUUUCGUUAUCGUGUCAUGGAACAAAGUUCAUUUUAAUUUGAUUUCUUUAAAUCUAUAUUGACACUUUUGCAAAUAACAACGAUAGGAUUGAAAUGUAACUUUUCCAUAAAAGAAACAUUCUACAUUUCAGUUAUAGUUUUAUACAAUUUUCAAACGACAAUUAAUAUGUAAUAAUAUGAACAGCUCGUUUCCGUUUAAGAUUUUUGAUUCCCUUUAUGUUUUUGAAAGAUGGAUCAACGUUAACAAUUUAAAAAUACACUAAGAAUAACGUAGGGUUAAGGUGAAAUAUUUUUACUCUGCAUUUAAACAAUUUUAAGAAAGUGUAUAAUUUUUCAAAAAAUGUCAAUCUGCAAAAUAAAUUUUAUCUUUGAUAUUUUUCAGCUAAGCUCAAAGACACCUAGAUGAAUAAGGCCAAACUCAGCAGACAAAAGCACAAUCUUUGUGUAAUAAAAAAUAAUAUAUUGAAACGA